This 1590-nucleotide long non-coding RNA is filed under the name Ananas comosus (pineapple). RNAcentral's name for it is "long non-coding RNA (ACOM_LNC011446)". Lineage: Eukaryota; Viridiplantae; Streptophyta; Magnoliopsida; Poales; Bromeliaceae. The record is from RNAcentral.
GUGAUAUUUGUUUAUUUUGUUUUCAAUAUAAGACUGAGGCUCCUAAGCUUUCGAAAGUACGAAGGUUUUUGUGCUAGUAAGUUAUUUUCGAUAAUAGAACAUCCAAUUCAACAAUCGGUUUCGUUAGAUAUAAUAUACGCUAUUAGAACUAUUUGAAAAAUAAAUUUCAUAAUUUUUUGACUUCAUUUGUCUAAUGAACGAGUAGUUUCAAAAUAAACGACUGAAAAUAAAAAUCUCACAAAAAAUAGUGAUAAAAUAUUUUAAUUUCGAAUUGAGAGUAUUGAUCUUACUCGUGAUGUUAUAUAAAAUUUUUUAUUAAAAUUUUAUAUAAUUUGAAUUGUUCUAUACUUUUGAACUUACGAACGUACCAUAUCAGUCAUUAAAAUAGUUAUUUUUGAAACAUUUUGAUCACUUAGUAAAUGAUGUCGAAAAAUUAUAAAAUUUAUUUUCUAAAUAGUUCUAAUAGCGUAGAUUAUCCUAAAUAAAAUCAAGUGUUGAAUCGAAUAUCCUAUCAUCGAAAAUAAUUUACAAAUAUAAAGAUCUCUGUAUUUUUGAAAGAAUAGGAGACAUACUCUAACAAGUAACAUCACAUGUGGGGAUCUCUGUUGGUUCUGGAUGGCUCGGAUUCAAUUUCGAAGUAAUUAGUGUACGAAAACUUUAAAUUUUAAAAAAUACGGAUAAUUAUCGUAAAAAGCACAGUGUUAUAUAUAUAUAUAGAGAGAGAGAGAGAGAGAGUUGAGCUAGAAUACUAUCGGUAGUAAACCAGUCAUUUUACUACCGAUUUGUUUUCGAUAAUAGAACUUCCAAAUUGACGAUCGGCUCCAUUGAACAUAAUCUAUACCACUUGAAGUGUUUAGAAAUCAAAUUUCAAAUCUUUUCGAUACCAUUUGUCUAAUGAUCAAAAGGUUUCAAAAUUUGUAAUUUUAAUGGUCGAUAAGAGCCGUUUUCUCGUUUAACGGCGUAAAGAUAUUCAAAUCAAUUGAAUUUUUGUUAGAAAAUUCUUUAAACUAUUUAAAACAAGAUCUAUACUCUUGAUCUUGAUUACAAGACUCCUAAUCAUCAUUUUUUAAAAAAUAUUUAUUUUCAGCCAUUCAUUUUUCUGUUCACUUGAUGGAUAAAAGAACAAUAUCGGAAGUUCGUGAAAUUUGAUUUCUAGGUAGUUUAAAUGGUUUAGAUCAUAUUUAAUGGAGCCGAUCGUCAAGUUGGAAGCUUUAUCAUAAAAAUUAAAUUGAUAGUAAAACAGUUCGUUUACUAUCGAUAACAUUCUAGCUCAACUAUAUAUAUAUAUAUAGAGAAAGAGAGAGAGUGAGGCUACUAUGCUAUCGGAAGCACGGAGCCUUCCGUGCUUCCAGCUCGUUUUCGAUGUUGCGAUUUUCGAAUCGUCGAUCGGCUCCGUUAAACUUGAUCUGAAUAUUUGAAGUACCUAGAAAAUAAAUUUUAUGAUUUUACGAUAUCAUUUGCCUAGUGAACGAAGGGGCUCAAAAUCAACGACUGAAAAUAAAAAUCUUACAAAAUAUAAUAAUAUGACAUUAAAAUUUUAAAUCAAAGAUAUUGAUCUUGUUUUAUAUAGUAUAAAGAAUUUUCUAUCAA